RNAcentral lists this ribosomal RNA (474 nucleotides) under Triticum aestivum (bread wheat). RNAcentral's name for it is "partial small subunit ribosomal RNA". Lineage: Eukaryota; Viridiplantae; Streptophyta; Magnoliopsida; Poales; Poaceae. The record is from RNAcentral.
AUGACACAGCAGCCUGCAAUCUUGCUCACCCUAAUCCUCACUAUGCCGGCCAUGGCCGUGGCCGGGCGUGCCCUUCACGAGGCCCCUCCAGCACCUCUUCUCCAACCCUCACCUGCCGCUACCGCAGCACCGCUUCUCCAGGCGCCACCAGUGCCAUACCUGCCGCCGCCAGUACCUCAUGUACCCGCCGCCGCCGGCGGGUCAGGAGCAGUUCUGCAGCAGCCACCCGCAGCUGAUCAUCCGUCGUGGCCAGCGUCGCUCCAUAUCCAUGUCACCAGGGCCGGCGUCCUCGGCGUGGUGCUUUCGUUCCUCGCAGGCUGUUUUCUCUGCGCCCUCUUCAUCGCCUUCGUCGGGCGCUUGAGCAAAUCUGCGCAGGCGGCCAACGGGCCUCAAGGCGACGGCGGCGGAGGCGGUAUGGAAGACACUGCUCAGAGAUGUCUCUGCUGCUUCGCUAGAGUUGCAGGGUGCGCGUGA